AGAGUUUGAUCCUGGCUCAGAUUGAACGCUGGCGGCAGGCCUAACACAUGCAAGUCGAACGGUAGCACAGAGGAGCUUGCUCCUUGGGUGACGAGUGGCGGACGGGUGAGUAAUGUCUGGGAAACUGCCCGAUGGAGGGGGAUAACUACUGGAAACGGUAGCUAAUACCGCAUAACGUCGCAAGACCAAAGAGGGGGACCUUCGGGCCUCUUGCCAUCGGAUGUGCCCAGAUGGGAUUAGCUAGUAGGUGGGGUAACGGCUCACCUAGGCGACGAUCCCUAGCUGGUCUGAGAGGAUGACCAGCCACACUGGAACUGAGACACGGUCCAGACUCCUACGGGAGGCAGCAGUGGGGAAUAUUGCACAAUGGGCGCAAGCCUGAUGCGGCCAUGCCGCGUGUAUGAAGAAGGCCUUCGGGUUGUAAAGUACUUUCAGCGAGGAGGAAGGCGUUGUGGUUAAUAACCGCAACGAUUGACGUUACUCGCAGAAGAAGCACCGGCUAACUCCGUGCCAGCAGCCGCGGUAA
Molecule: ribosomal RNA, 526 nt
Filed under: uncultured Enterobacterales bacterium
Lineage: Bacteria; Pseudomonadati; Pseudomonadota; Gammaproteobacteria; Enterobacterales
Description: bacterial SSU rRNA
Rfam family: Bacterial small subunit ribosomal RNA
Source: RNAcentral